Molecule: transfer RNA, 74 nt
Filed under: Nippostrongylus brasiliensis
Lineage: Eukaryota; Metazoa; Nematoda; Chromadorea; Rhabditida; Heligmosomidae
Rfam family: tRNA
About the family: Transfer RNA (tRNA) molecules are approximately 80 nucleotides in length. Their secondary structure includes four short double-helical elements and three loops (D, anti-codon, and T loops). Further hydrogen bonds mediate the characteristic L-shaped molecular structure. tRNAs have two regions of fundamental functional importance: the anti-codon, which is responsible for specific mRNA codon recognition, and the 3' end, to which the tRNAs corresponding amino acid is attached (by aminoacyl-tRNA synthetases). tRNAs cope with the degeneracy of the genetic code in two manners: having more than one tRNA (with a specific anti-codon) for a particular amino acid; and 'wobble' base-pairing, i.e. permitting non-standard base-pairing at the 3rd anti-codon position.
Source: Rfam by way of RNAcentral
GUCUCAGUGGUGCAGUGAUUAGCGCACGAGCCCCUGUUAGGCGCGAGACGCGAGUUCGAAUCCCGCCUGAGAUG